UGUAGUGAGGAUACGUUCCCUUCCUUCAGAAAAGAUUACACAUGGAAAUCAUCAAUUCCUCAAGGAGAGACGCACCCUGGGUACAGAGGAUGGACUGCACCUCACAAGACAAGUCCACGUGCUGCUGCCGAAGAGACACCAAUUCCGCUGGGCGCGAAUGGAUUCCAGUAGCGCGUCUGUCAUCGGUCACUUAUGACCACAAUUUUCAUUAUUGUCUGGAUAUCUGCAAGGAAUAUACAACCUUCUGCACAGAGUUGAUGGUCAAAAGCUGUGUCUGUCAGCACCACAGAGCAUCGAGAGGGUGGUUUCUAUCUUUGGUUUUCUAGCUGUAUGAGUGUACAGAACCUUUCAUAAAGCUAGAUAACCGAAAGUAGGAAUGAUUCUCAAAGUCGCUUUAUUCUACUGGAAAUGCAGCUGACGAAAAUAUUCUGCGCUCAAGGCUCAUCCAAGUUGUGCUAACCGUAGGAAGAGUCUGGCUGUGGCUAUUGGAGAGAUGGAAGAAGCACACGUCUGUCCUCGGCUCUCCCCUCCUUACCCACAAAAGCAUGGGUGCCAUCUGAGAGAGGAGAGAUGCCAUGCCAGUGCCACAGCGGGAGAUACAGCCCGCCAGUCUUCGGGCAUAGGGGUGCGGGCAAGGAGGCCAUCUUAUCUGGGCACGUCUCUGCAGCGUCUAAGAUGGCUGAGCUGGCAUCCGAGGUGUUUUCCAUGGGACUGAAACAUGAUAUUUGAAGAUGGACUGGGAAUGCUGGCCCUGUAAUGGUGGAAAGGAUGGACUUGGCAGGAGUUGGCAUGAAGUCUGUGUGUGAACAGGCAAGAUGAGACUACAAAGUGGUCUCAGCUGCCCUCUCAACCACCACAAGAUCUGGAAACUGUGUUUUGUCAAAUAACUAGCAGUUGUUUGUCUUGAAAUUCUACGUUACUGUAUAAAUUGAGCAUGUUUUAUGUUAUGAUUUCUAUAA
Long non-coding RNA from Sardina pilchardus (European sardine), 959 nucleotides. RefSeq lists it as uncharacterized. The record is from RefSeq and is a predicted model, not a curated record. The transcript is spliced from 4 exons. Lineage: Eukaryota; Metazoa; Chordata; Actinopteri; Clupeiformes; Clupeidae.